Molecule: ribosomal RNA, 591 nt
Filed under: uncultured Basidiomycota
Lineage: Eukaryota; Fungi; Basidiomycota
Description: eukaryotic LSU rRNA
Rfam family: 5.8S ribosomal RNA (bases 198-352)
Source: RNAcentral
UCCGUAGGUGAACCUGCGGAAGGAUCAUUACUGAAGACACGGAGUUUUGAGACUGCGCCUUAGGGCGUGUGCUCGACUCUUACUCUUUAUCCACACACACCUUUGUGCACCAAUAGGGGAGAUGUCUCCUCUUUUUUAUUAUAAACACCUUAGUUAUAUGCAUGUAAUAUAUGAUACUCUACGGAGUUAAAUGUAACAACUUUCAACAACGGAUCUCUUGGCUUCCGCAUCGAUGAAGAACGCAGCGAACAUGCGAAACGUAAUGUGAAUUGCAGAAUUCAGUGAAUCAUCGAAUCUUUGAACGCAUCUUGCGCUCCUUGGUAUUCCGAGGAGCAUGCCUGUUUGAGUGUCGAGAAUACUCUCAAUUUCAAUUUUUUUUGAAAUUGGAUUUGGACGCUGUCGUGUGAUCCUCUCUCGACUCGUCCUAAAUACAUUAGCGAUCUGCCUUGAUCACACACAAUGUGAUAAAUGUCAAGCAUUGUUACAAUCGAGUGCACGACCGCUUCUAACCACAACGCAUAUAUGCAUGUCAUUUGACCUCAAAUCAGGUAGGACUACCCGCUGAACUUAAGCAUAUCAAUAAGCGGAGGA